GUGAACCAGUACCGUGAGGGAAAGGCGAAAAGAACCCCGGCGAGGGGAGUGAAAAAGAACCUGAAACCGUGUACGUACAAGCAGUGGGAGCACGCUUAGGCGUGUGACUGCGUACCUUUUGUAUAAUGGGUCAGCGACUUAUAUUCUGUAGCAAGGUUAACCGAAUAGGGGAGCCGAAGGGAAACCGAGUCUUAACUGGGCGUUAAGUUGCAGGGUAUAGACCCGAAACCCGGUGAUCUAGCCAUGGGCAGGUUGAAGGUUGGGUAACACUAACUGGAGGACCGAACCGACUAAUGUUGAAAAAUUAGCGGAUGACUUGUGGCUGGGGGUGAAAGGCCAAUCAAACCGGGAGAUAGCUGGUUCUCCCCGAAAGCUAUUUAGGUAGCGCCUCGUGAAUUCAUCUCCGGGGGUAGAGCACUGUUUCGGCAAGGGGGUCAUCCCGACUUACCAACCCGAUGCAAACUGCGAAUACCGGAGAAUGUUAUCACGGGAGACACACGGCGGGUGCUAACGUCCGUCGUGAAGAGGGAAACAACCCAGACCGCCAGCUAAGGUCCCAAAGUCAUGGUUAAGUGGGAAACGAUGUGGGAAGGCCCAGACAGCCAGGAUGUUGGCUUAGAAGCAGCCAUCAUUUAAAGAAAGCGUAAUAGCUCACUGGUCGAGUCGGCCUGCGCGGAAGAUGUAACGGGGCUAAACCAUGCAC
This 703-nucleotide ribosomal RNA is filed under the name Escherichia coli. RNAcentral describes it as "partial 23S ribosomal RNA". It matches the Rfam family "Bacterial large subunit ribosomal RNA", at positions 490 to 1194 of the family's 2925-position model. The record is from RNAcentral. Lineage: Bacteria; Pseudomonadati; Pseudomonadota; Gammaproteobacteria; Enterobacterales; Enterobacteriaceae.